Molecule: ribosomal RNA, 374 nt
Filed under: uncultured soil bacterium
Lineage: Bacteria
Description: bacterial SSU rRNA
Rfam family: Bacterial small subunit ribosomal RNA
Source: RNAcentral
GGAUUGAACGCUGGCGGCAUGCCUAACACAUGCAAGUCGAACGGGAGUAGCAAUACUCUAGUGGCGGACGGGUGAGGAAUACGUAGGAAUUUGCCCUUAAGUGGGGGAUAACCCGGGGAAACCCGGAUUAAUACCGCAUGACCUCGAAAGAGCAAAGUGGGGGAUCGCAAGACCUCACGCUUUUGGAGAAGCCUACGUCGGAUUAGCUAGUUGGCGAGGUAAUGGCUCACCAAGGCGACGAUCCGUAACUGGUCUGAGAGGAUGAUCAGUCACACCGGAACUGAGACACGGUCCGGACUCCUACGGGAGGCAGCAGUGGGGAAUAUUGGACAAUGGGCGCAAGCCUGAUCCAGCAAUGCCGCGUGUGUGAAGAA